AGCAGCCGCGGUAAUUCCAGCUCCAAUAGCGUAUAUUAAAGUUGUUGCAGUUAAAAAGCUCGUAGUUGAAUUUCAGGCCUGGCUGGACGGUCCGCCCUUCGGGUGAGUACUGUCUGUGGUCGGGUCCUACCUUCUGGCGAAGCGUCAUGGCCUUAACCGGCCGUGGCGGGGAACCAGGACUUUUACUGUGAAAAAAUUAGAGUGUUCAAAGCAGGCAAAUCGCUUGGAUACAUUAGCACGGAAUAAUGGAAUAGGACAAUGGUUCUAUUUGUUGGUUUCUAGGACCGUUGUAAUGAUUAAUAGGGAUGGUUGGGGGCAUUAGUAUUCAAUUGUCAGAGGUGAAGUUCUUGGAUUUAUUGAAGACUAACUACUGCGAAAGCAUUUGCCAAGGAUGUUUUCAUUAAUCAAGAACGAAAGUUAGGGGAUCGAAGACGAUCAGAUACCGUCGUAGUCUUAACCAUAAACUAUGCCGACUAGGAAUCGGGCGAUGUUGAAAAAAUGACGC
Molecule: ribosomal RNA, 505 nt
Filed under: uncultured Glomeromycotina
Lineage: Eukaryota; Fungi; Glomeromycota
Description: SSU rRNA
Rfam family: Eukaryotic small subunit ribosomal RNA
Source: RNAcentral